UACGUAGGGUGCGAGCGUUAAUCGGAAUUACUGGGCGUAAAGCGUGCGCAGGCGGUUCGUUAAGUCAGAUGUGAAAGCCCCGGGCUCAACCUGGGAACUGCAUUUGAAACUGGCGGGCUUGAGUGUGGCAGAGGGGGGUGGAAUUCCACGUGUAGCAGUGAAAUGCGUAGAGAUGUGGAGGAAUACCGAUGGCGAAGGCAGCCCCCUGGGCCAAUACUGACGCUCAUGCACGAAAGCGUGGGGAGCAAACAGG
Molecule: ribosomal RNA, 253 nt
Filed under: uncultured bacterium
Lineage: Bacteria
Description: partial 16S ribosomal RNA
Rfam family: Bacterial small subunit ribosomal RNA
Source: RNAcentral